UUCCAGUGAACUAACUGUGUUACGACUUACCUCUUCUUUAGAAGAGGGUGACGGGCGAUAUGUACACCUAAAUUCAAUUUCGUUCUUAAUUCUUGUUAAAAAACUACUUCCAAAUCCUCUUUCGUUUCCUCUUUAGAAAAAAGUCCUUUAAUUAGUUUAAUAGGUAAUUAGUUUCGUCUUUUUCCAUAAUCUUCACCUUGACCUGACUUACGAAAUAAUAUUUAGACAUAAUUUUUGAAUUCUAUCUUUAGACGGCGGUAUAAAAGAGAAGGAAAAGAGAAAAUGAACGGGAAGAAUCGAUAAAAACAAAUUCCUCUGGUAAGAGAAAAGGCCGCCAAAAAGCAUAGGUUUA
This 352-nucleotide ribosomal RNA is filed under the name Aptostichus atomarius. Its description in RNAcentral is "partial 12S ribosomal RNA". Lineage: Eukaryota; Metazoa; Arthropoda; Arachnida; Araneae; Euctenizidae. The record is from RNAcentral.